UUGUGGAGGAGGACGCCGAAGGUGGGGCUAAUGACUGGGGUGAAGUCGUAACAAGGUAGCCGUACCGGAAGGUGCGGCUGGAUCACCUCCUAACAGGGAGACAACAAAAUGUUUAAUAUUAUUAUUUUGUCACCUUAGGUCGAUCGGUAUCUCACAUUUUAAAUUUAUUAAGAAUUUCAUUUCCUAAGUUUUUCUAGGUCACACCCAUUAUUUUCCUGGGCCAUUAGCUCAGGUGGUUAGAGCGCACCCCUGAUAAGGGUGAGGUCCCUGGUUCAAGUCCAGGAUGGCCCAUAUCUCUAUGUUGGGGGUAUAGCUCAGUUGGUAGAGCGCCUGCUUUGCAAGCAGGAUGUCAGCGGUUCGAGUCCGCUUACCUCCACUGAUUACCACCUCUUCCAUAACUGUAGAAAGGGAAUGUUUUGAGUUGUGAUCAAAUUCUGAACGAAUCUAGCUUCUCAAUAAUCUUUAUUAGGAUGCUGGACUCAUUGAAUUAUUUUCAUUGUUUUCAGAGAACCUUGACAACUGCAUAGAUUAUUUUUAAAGACAAUAAGCAUCUUUAAUGAUGCAGAUUUAUUAUUUGUGCGAAUGCAUUAAUAACAAUUCUAUUGAGCUGAUGCUUCGAUUUUCGAAGUUAUUGGUCAAGCUACAA
This 646-nucleotide unclassified non-coding RNA is filed under the name uncultured Prochlorococcus sp. RNAcentral describes it as "partial 16S-23S ribosomal RNA intergenic spacer; may also contain 16S ribosomal RNA and 23S ribosomal RNA". The stretch from base 304 to 376 matches the Rfam family "tRNA". Lineage: Bacteria; Bacillati; Cyanobacteriota; Cyanophyceae; Synechococcales; Prochlorococcaceae. The record is from RNAcentral.